RNAcentral lists this ribosomal RNA (253 nucleotides) under uncultured bacterium. Its description in RNAcentral is "partial 16S ribosomal RNA". It matches the Rfam family "Bacterial small subunit ribosomal RNA", at positions 524 to 776 of the family's 1533-position model. The record is from RNAcentral.
UACGGGGGGGGCAAGCGUUGUUCGGAAUUACUGGGCGUAAAGGGCUCGUAGGUGGCCAACUAAGUCAGACGUGAAAUCCCUCGGCUUAACCGGGGAACUGCAUCUGAUACUGGAUGGCUUGAGUUUGGGAGAGGGACGCGGAAUUCCAGGUGUAGCGGUGAAAUGCGUAGAGAUCGGGAGGAACACCAGAGGCGAAAGCGGCGACCUGGACAGGUACUGACACUCAACUACGAAAGCGUGGGGAGCAAACAGG